Molecule: ribosomal RNA, 850 nt
Filed under: Pseudogymnoascus sp.
Lineage: Eukaryota; Fungi; Ascomycota; Leotiomycetes; Thelebolales; Thelebolaceae
Description: partial large subunit ribosomal RNA
Rfam family: Eukaryotic large subunit ribosomal RNA
Source: RNAcentral
CAGUAACGGCGAGUGAAGCGGUAACAGCUCAAAUUUGAAAUCUGGCCUCACGGUCCGAGUUGUAAUUUGUAGAGGAUGCUUCGAGCAUGGUCUGGCCUAAGUUCCUUGGAACAGGACGUCAUAGAGGGUGAGAAUCCCGUAUGCGGCCAGGUGCCUACGCUCAUGUGAAGCUCCUUCGACGAGUCGAGUUGUUUGGGAAUGCAGCUCAAAAUGGGUGGUAAAUUUCAUCUAAAGCUAAAUAUUGGCCAGAGACCGAUAGCGCACAAGUAGAGUGAUCGAAAGAUGAAAAGCACUUUGGAAAGAGAGUUAAACAGUACGUGAAAUUGUUGAAAGGGAAGCGCUUGCAACCAGACUUGCGCGCGGCCGAUCAUCCGGUGUUCUCACCGGUGCACUCGGCCGUGCUCAGGCCAGCAUCGGUUUUGGCGGCUGGAUAAAGGCCCUAGGAAUGUAGCUCCUCUCGGGGAGUGUUAUAGCCUAGGGUGCAAUGCAGCCUGCUGGGACCGAGGACCGCGCUUCGGCUAGGAUGCUGGCGUAAUGGUUGUAAGCGGCCCGUCUUGAAACACGGACCAAGGAGUCUAACAUCUAUGCGAGUGUUUGGGUGUCAAACCCAUACGCGUAAUGAAAGUGAACGGAGGUGAGAACCCUUAAGGGUGCAUCAUCGACCGGUCCUGAAGUUUACGGAAGGAUCUGAGUAAGAGCAUAGCUGUUGGGACCCGAAAGAUGGUGAACUAUGCCUGAAUAGGGUGAAGCCAGAGGAAACUCUGGUGGAGGCUCGCAGCGGUUCUGACGUGCAAAUCGAUCGUCAAAUUUGGGUAUAGGGGCGAAGACUAAUCGAACCAUCUAGUAGCUG